RNAcentral lists this non-coding RNA (28 nucleotides) under Mus musculus (house mouse). The record is from RNAcentral. Lineage: Eukaryota; Metazoa; Chordata; Mammalia; Rodentia; Muridae.
UGGUCUUUCUCCUCCCAUCUGGUAUUAA